This 253-nucleotide ribosomal RNA is filed under the name uncultured bacterium. RNAcentral's name for it is "partial 16S ribosomal RNA". It matches the Rfam family "Bacterial small subunit ribosomal RNA", at positions 524 to 776 of the family's 1533-position model. The record is from RNAcentral.
UACGUAGGGUGCGAGCGUUGUCCGGAAUUAUUGGGCGUAAAGGGCUCGUAGGCGGUUUGUCGCGUCGGGUGUGAAAACUCAGGGCUUAACCCUGAGCCUGCUUCCGAUACGGGCAGACUAGAGGUAUGCAGGGGAGAACGGAAUUCCUGGUGUAGCGGUGAAAUGCGCAGAUAUCAGGAGGAACACCGGUGGCGAAGGCGGUUCUCUGGACAUUGCCUGACGCUGAGGAGCGAAAGUGUGGGGAGCGAACAGG